This is a long non-coding RNA of Gossypium raimondii (Peruvian cotton), 458 nucleotides long. RefSeq lists it as uncharacterized. The record is from RefSeq and is a predicted model, not a curated record. The transcript is spliced from 3 exons. Lineage: Eukaryota; Viridiplantae; Streptophyta; Magnoliopsida; Malvales; Malvaceae.
AACAUCAUCUCUUCUUCACUUAAUUUAAACCCUUUCUUUUAAUUUUAUUUCCUCCCAACCCUUUCUGUUUCGCACACCAAAACUCUUUUUCUCUUCAAUAUAUUUACAAAAUUCCUGAUUGUUUAAUCCAUUAGAAAAAAGAAGUGAAGCAUUUUUCGAGUGGUCUUGCAGGAUCCAAGAUCUGGAGAUAUUCCUAGAGUUAAUGGACAACUGGCAAUUUCGUGUGCUUUCGGUGACAAGAGCCUUAAACCGCAUCUAUAAUCAGAUCCCUACAUUCAAUGGACUAACAUAGAUAACAAAACAAAUAUUUUAAUUCUUGCAAGUGAUGGUCUUUGGAAGGUGAUGAGUAAUCAAGAGGCUGUUGAUAUUGCAAAAAAUUAAAGACCCACAGAAGGCUUCGAAACAAUUAAUUGCGAAAACAAUUAAAAGAGAGUUAAGAUGACAUAUCUUGUAUUUUC